UCAGUAACGGCGAGUGAAGCGGCAACAGCUCAAAUUUGAAAUCUGGCCCGCCCCGGGUCCGAGUUGUAAUCUGCAGGGGACGCUUCGGCGGUCGGCCCCGGUACAAGUUCCUUGGAACAGGACGUCGCAGAGGGUGAGAAUCCCGUACCCGACCGGGCGCCGCCGCCGCGGAAGCUCCUCCGACGAGUCGAGUUGUUUGGGAAUGCAGCUCUAAACGGGAGGUAAAUUUCUUCCAAAGCUAAAUACCGGCCAGAGACCGAUAGCGCACAAGUAGAGUGAUCGAAAGAUGAAAAGCACUUUGGAAAGAGAGUCAAACAGCACGUGAAAUUGUUGAAAGGGAAGCGCUCGCGACCAGACCCGCCCGCGGACGCUCCGCCGGCCCCUCGGGGCCGGCCCACUCGUCCGCGGGCAGGCCAGCGUCGGUCGGAGCGGCCGGGCAAAGGCCCCGGGAACGUGGCUCCCCCCCCGGGGGAGUGUUAUAGCCCGGGGCGGAAUCCGGCCAGCCCCGACCGAGGUCCGCGCGUCCCGCCAGGACGCUGGCGUAAUGGUCGCGAGCGGCCCGUCUUGAAACACGGACCAAGGAGUCUAACAACCACGCGAGCGUCUGGGCGUCAAACCCGCGCGCGCAAUGAAAGUGAACGGAGGUGGGAGCCCUCGGGCGCACCAUCGACCGAUCCCGAUGUCCUCGGAGGGAUUUGAGUAAGAGCGUGGCUGUUGGGACCCGAAAGAUGGUGAACUAUGCCUAGGUAGGGUGAAGCCAGAGGAAACUCUGGGGGGAGGCUCGCAGCGGGUUCUGACGUGCAAAUCGAUCGUCAAACCUGGGGUUUAGGGGCCAAAAGACUAAUCGAACCAUCUAGUAGCUGGUUCCUGCC
Molecule: ribosomal RNA, 872 nt
Filed under: Collemopsidium angermannicum
Lineage: Eukaryota; Fungi; Ascomycota; Collemopsidiomycetes; Collemopsidiales; Xanthopyreniaceae
Description: LSU rRNA
Rfam family: Eukaryotic large subunit ribosomal RNA
Source: RNAcentral